Molecule: non-coding RNA, 848 nt
Filed under: Drosophila virilis
Lineage: Eukaryota; Metazoa; Arthropoda; Insecta; Diptera; Drosophilidae
Description: Eukaryotic large subunit ribosomal RNA
Rfam family: Eukaryotic large subunit ribosomal RNA
Source: Rfam by way of RNAcentral
CACGGGUAACCAGGAGCCCACGGAACUUGUUCCGUCCUGGUUAGUUGGUGCGGCCCUUCGGGGAGUAUCGUGGUGGUUGUGGUUUAACACCCAAAUGCGGGUAGAGCAUCGCUCGACGUGGAGUUGCGUCAUACAACCGGGUUCCGUGACCCAGAUUACGGAAGAGGCUUAGAUAGUCCUCGUGCCAAACCAAGGUAGAAGUCACAACCAAACAGUCGUGUCUUUAAUUGGUACCUGCGGAAUUGUUCCAAGGGGGCGGUGAUUGACGCUUGAAUUAAUCCUAUACUAGGAACCGUGAGAUUAAGCCAUCGCGGCAGGUGCUCACGUUAAGCCCACUGACUUUCAUGUCCCUAUCUACUAUCUAGCGAAACCACAGCCAAGGGAACGGGCUUGGAAUAAUUAGCGGGGAAAGAAGACCCUUUUGAGCUUGACUCUAAUCUGGCAGUGUAAGGAGACAUAAGAGGUGUAGAAUAAGUGGGAGAUAUUAGACUUCGGUUUGGUAUCGACAAUGAAAUACCACUACUCUUAUUGUUUCCUUACUUACUUGAUUAAAUGGAACGUGUAUCAUUUCCUAGCCAUUAUACGGAUAUAAUUAUUAUGUCUUAUGGUAUUGGGUUUUGAUGCAAGCUUCUUGAUCAAAGUAUCACGAGUUUGUUAUAUAAUCGCAAACAAAUUCUUUAAUGAGAGAAUGCAUUUAUGUAUUAUUGAUUUAAAAAUUUGGUAUAACUCCAAUUACUCAGGUAUGAUCCAAUUCAAGGACAUUGCCAGGUAGGGAGUUUGACUGGGGCGGUACAUCUCUCAAAUAAUAACGGAGGUGUCCCAAGGCCAGCUCAGUGCGGACAGAAACC